Molecule: ribosomal RNA, 253 nt
Filed under: uncultured bacterium
Lineage: Bacteria
Description: partial 16S ribosomal RNA
Rfam family: Bacterial small subunit ribosomal RNA
Source: RNAcentral
GACGAACCGUACGAACGUUAUUCGGAAUUACUGGGCUUAAAGGGUGCGUAGGCUGCACGGAAAGUUGGGUGUGAAAGCCCUCAGCUCAACUGAGGAAUUGCAUCCAAAACUGCCGUGCUUGAGGGAGACAGAGGUGAGCGGAACUCAAGGUGGAGCGGUGAAAUGCGUUGAUAUCUUGAGGAACACCGGUGGCGAAAGCGGCUCACUGGGUCUCUUCUGACGCUGAGGCACGAAAGCUAAGGUAGCAAACGGG